RNAcentral lists this ribosomal RNA (434 nucleotides) under uncultured bacterium. Its description in RNAcentral is "partial 16S ribosomal RNA". It matches the Rfam family "Bacterial small subunit ribosomal RNA", at positions 29 to 507 of the family's 1533-position model. The record is from RNAcentral.
AGCGAACGCUGGCGGCAGGCCUAACACAUGCAAGUCGAACGAACCUUUCGGGGUUAGUGGCGGACGGGUGAGUAACACGUGGGAACGUGCCUUUAGGUUCGGAAUAACUCAGGGAAACUAGUGCUAAUACCGAAUGUGCCCUUCGGGGGAAAGAUUUAUCGCCUUUAGAGCGGCCCGCGUCUGAUUAGCUAGUUGGUUGAGGUAAUGGCUCACCAAGGCGACGAUCAGUAGCUGGUCUGAGAGGAUGAUCAGCCACAUUGGGACUGAGACACGGCCCAAACUCCUACGGGAGGCAGCAGUGGGGAAUCUUGCGCAAUGGGCGAAAGCCUGACGCAGCCAUGCCGCGUGAAUUAUGAAGGUCUUAGUAUUGUAAAAUUCUUUCACCGGGGACGAUAAUGACGUUACCCGGAGAAGAAGCCCCGGCUAACUUCGUG